RNAcentral lists this non-coding RNA (91 nucleotides) under Lagierella massiliensis. RNAcentral's name for it is "SAM riboswitch (S box leader)". It matches the Rfam family "SAM riboswitch aptamer (S box leader)". From Rfam's summary of the family: The SAM riboswitch is found upstream of a number of genes which code for proteins involved in methionine or cysteine biosynthesis in Gram-positive bacteria. The SAM riboswitch acts at the level of transcription termination control. Lineage: Bacteria; Bacillati; Bacillota; Tissierellia; Tissierellales; Peptoniphilaceae. The record is from RNAcentral.
CUUAUUAAGAGUGGUGGAGGGAAAGGCCCUAUGAAACCCGGCAACCUAUUAAAUUAGGUGCUAAGUCCUGCAGUUUAUCUGAAAAAUAAGA